RNAcentral lists this ribosomal RNA (1788 nucleotides) under Triticum aestivum (bread wheat). RNAcentral's name for it is "partial small subunit ribosomal RNA". Lineage: Eukaryota; Viridiplantae; Streptophyta; Magnoliopsida; Poales; Poaceae. The record is from RNAcentral.
AUGGCGCCCCAGGCCCCGGUCUUGGAGAUCAUCGACGACGACGACGACGACGGCGUCGGCGUGGCCGCCUCCCCUCCCGCGCUCCUCUCGGGCAGGCGCUGCCGCGCCACUCCCCCGACCGCGGCAGCCGACGACUCCCCGGACUUCCUCGGGGCCUUCUCCCCCUCCCCGCCGGCCCCGAAGCGGCGCGCCACUCCCUCGGCCGCGGCGGCCCUCGACUCCCCGGACUGGCUCGGGGCCUCCUCCCCCCCCCCGCCCGCCCCGAAGAGGCGCGCCGCUCCCUCGCCCGCGGCGGCCCUCGACUCUCUCGACUUCCUCGACGCCUUCACCCCCUCCCCGACCGUCCCGAAGCGGCGCGCCCCCGCGUCCGCGACCCCGAUCGUACUCGACGACGACACCCCUCCCCCGCCGAGGCGGCGCCCGUCCCCGACGCCGAUCCUGCUCCUCGACGACACGCCUCCCUCGCCGUUCGCUCCGGAGAUCCCGGACGUUGCUGUUGCGGCGACACCACCAGCGUACGCCACCCCGCCCUCGACCGGGCCGCCGUCCAGCGUCCCAGGCUCCUCUUCGACUGGCCGCGCGCAUGAUUCGUCUGGAGCUUCUUGUCCAAUAUCUCUGGACAGUGAUGAUGAGUUGGAUGACUUUGGGACCAUAGAGCCAUUGGCCAAGUUGAUUUUACCCUGUGGAAAUUCUUCGCCGCAAGAAGAGGAUGACCACGACAUGGAAGAGAAUGCACGACCAAUCAAAGAAAGAAAGGGACGGAAGAGACUAAGUAAAGAAGAGAAAGGCAAAAUGAUUGAAGAGAAAAAACGGCAGCGAGAGGAAAAAAGGAUGCAAAAAGAAGCUGAUAAAGCUAAACAAGCAGAGCAAAAGAAGUCGGCCAAAGAAAAAGCAGACUGGGCUUCAGGAAAACGUGCUUUAGAAUCUAUUGUCGCCAAGAUCGACCCAAAGGUCAUAGAAACUGGCUCAAUUGCAGGUGCUCUCCUGACAAUGUUUUCAGAAAAGAAACUUACCUAUCAAGUUGAGCGUAAUCCAAUGAGUGGAUCAAUUUUGUGGAAGAUGGUUUCUCCAAAUGAUCAGGAGCCAGCUUUGGAGCCAUAUAUCCUAUUUGUGCUCCAAGCUGAGGAAUUCUGUGAUCUUAUAAGCAGUGGAAAGUUCUUGGAUCAUGUUCUCAAAGCUCGAAGUCUCUAUCCAACAUUCACUAUUUGCUAUGUCACUCAUAAAUUGAUGAAAUACAUAUAUGAUAGAGAGCAAAGCCAGUAUAAGAAUUCCGACAGUUCUAAUAGAUGGAAACGUCCACCUGUGGAACAGGUUUUGUGCAAAUUAGUAACACACUACGAUAGAGUUCAUUCCAAGGAUUGCGCAGAUGAGGAUCAACUAGCAGAACACGUUGUUCGCUUGACUAGUCUUGCAAAAUGCAAAUUCAGGAAGCAAUUGUCAUGGUUAUCUGUGCAAGCUAAUGGUGUGAUAGUCCCAAAUGAUUUUGUGAAUAAAGAUCAGCUUAAGAAGGAUACUUGGUUUAUGUCUUUACUAGCUAUCCCCAAAGUCAAGCCAAGGCUUGCCCUGGCAAUCUGGAAGAAGUACCGUACCAUGAGAUCACUUCUGAGUGUAUACAUGGAUCCCAAUAAAAGUAAUCGCGAGAAGGAGCUUUUGCUUAAAGACCUGAAGUGUGAAGAUAACCUCGGCGAUGAAAGCAAAAAGGUGGGACCAGUAUACUCUAGGAGGGUGUACAGAAUGCUCAUGGCAGAAAAUGGGGCAAUGGAAGCAGAAGAAGCUGUGAAAUCCUAA